UGGGAGCUUGCUCCCUGAGAUCAGCGGCGGACGGGUGAGUAACACGUGGGUAACCUGCCUGUAAGACUGGGAUAACUCCGGGAAACCGGGGCUAAUACCGGAUAACACCUACCCCCGCAUGGGGGAAGGUUGAAAGGUGGCUUCGGCUAUCACUUACAGAUGGACCCGCGGCGCAUUAGCUAGUUGGUGAGGUAACGGCUCACCAAGGCGACGAUGCGUAGCCGACCUGAGAGGGUGAUCGGCCACACUGGGACUGAGACACGGCCCAGACUCCUACGGGAGGCAGCAGUAGGGAAUCUUCCGCAAUGGACGAAAGUCUGACGGAGCAACGCCGCGUGAGUGAAGAAGGUUUUCGGAUCGUAAAACUCUGUUGUUAGGGAAGAACAAGUACCGUUCGAAUAGGGCGGUACCUUGACGGUACCUAACCAGAAAGCCACGGCUAACUACGUGCCAGCAGCCGCGGUAAUACGUAGGUGGCAAGCGUUGUCCGGAAUUAUUGGGCGUAAAGCGCGCGCAGGUGGUUUCUUAAGUCUGAUGUGAAAGCCCACGGCUCAACCGUGGAGGGUCAUUGGAAACUGGGGAACUUGAGUGCAGAAGAGGAAAGUGGAAUUCCAAGUGUAGCGGUGAAAUGCGUAGAUAUUUGGAGGAACACCAGUGGCGAAGGCGACUUUCUGGUCUGUAACUGACACUGAGGCGCGAAAGCGUGGGGAGCAAACAGGAUUAGAUACC
This 729-nucleotide ribosomal RNA is filed under the name Rossellomorea aquimaris. RNAcentral describes it as "bacterial SSU rRNA". It matches the Rfam family "Bacterial small subunit ribosomal RNA", at positions 73 to 786 of the family's 1533-position model. Lineage: Bacteria; Bacillati; Bacillota; Bacilli; Caryophanales; Bacillaceae. The record is from RNAcentral.